AAACCUAUGGGAGGAUGUUUCAAAGAAAUUUGUCAUGCCAAGGGAUGAAACCCAUACCCUCAAUGUGAAGAAGGUCGCUUUGAAAUCUAUGAGCCAUGCAUGGAAGGAUUUCAAGUGGAAACUAAAUAUAAAUUAUGUCAAGAAGGACAAAACUCCAUUUGAGGACUAUCCAGAACUCAAGAAAGAGUGGUGGCCAGACUUUGUGGAGUGGGUUACCUCUGAUGAGUAUAUUGCUCUAGGAGAAAAGGGCAAGCAAAGCCAAAGCAUGAAUAAGUUCCGUCAAAAACUAGGUCGGCGAAGCUAUACUGUACAAAAGAGAAAAUGGGCAAAGGAAGAUGCACAAGCAUUAACCGAGGGUAAAUCUAUUCCAUUUCAAGACAUGCCAGAUGGUCGUCAUAAGGAUUGGGCAAGGGCGAGGAAUCCUUCUGGCGAUGUGAACAUAACAGAGUCGCAUCCAAUCAUAAAGAAAAUUGUAGAUCUAAAUGAAAAGUCAGUAGCUGGUACCUUUACACCAUUGGAUAAUAUGGACAUACUUGCAACAGCAAUAGGGAGUAAUCAUCCAGGGAGGACAACAGGGGUGAGUGCUUAUGUGGGUUUAGGGAUGGGU
This 607-nucleotide unclassified non-coding RNA is filed under the name Zea mays. RNAcentral describes it as "misc RNA Zm00001eb234550". Lineage: Eukaryota; Viridiplantae; Streptophyta; Magnoliopsida; Poales; Poaceae. The record is from RNAcentral.